RNAcentral lists this long non-coding RNA (481 nucleotides) under Olea europaea (common olive). Its description in RNAcentral is "long non-coding RNA (OEUR_LNC013519)". Lineage: Eukaryota; Viridiplantae; Streptophyta; Magnoliopsida; Lamiales; Oleaceae. The record is from RNAcentral.
ACAGUAUUAUACUUCCAGUGUAAGAAGAACCAUGGUGAAGAGAUUGAAUUAUAUGGGAGUAUCGAAUACGCCAAACUGCCCACUAUCCAACCAGUCAAUGAGUGAUGGAAAAUGACUUAUAGUUUAUCUGAAACGCCCUAUUACUCAUCCGAACAGAAAUUAAUAUGCUGUCAAAUUGAUCUUUUCAGUUGGAGGUUUAAAUCAACAGAAGACACCUCCCGAUUUAGAAUUUAUUUUAUUUUAUUUUAUAAUUAAUAUUAUUACAUAUAUUUUUUUCCGUCCUUUUUACGAUGUUCAAUUGGAAGUUACAAUUGUAAAAUCUUCAAUUUUUUUUUUUGUUCUUCAUUCGUUUUGUAAUCUCAAAUUCGGCAUUAAAGUUGAUUAUUAACGGUUAAAAUCCUUCUGCUCUUACAAGCUUAGUUCAAAUGUGUCUAUUCAAAAUCCUAAUCAAGAAUAACUUGAUGUGGUCGAGAAAAAUGAA